Long non-coding RNA from Cannabis sativa, 1746 nucleotides. RefSeq lists it as uncharacterized. The record is from RefSeq and is a predicted model, not a curated record. The transcript is spliced from 2 exons. Lineage: Eukaryota; Viridiplantae; Streptophyta; Magnoliopsida; Rosales; Cannabaceae.
GACGGUCACUCCUACUUGCUGUCUUCUGUUCGCGAUGCCAGCGUCUCUGAAAACCUCGGGGCUGUAAUACACAACGGCGUCGUUUCCUGAAGCUUGCAUGAAGAAAUUGACUCCAAUGGCAGCAAUUAGGAUCCGUCGAAGCUGUCUCGAAGGUCUGAAAAUCAUCUCCUUCCAAACUCCUUCUCCUUGCCAUGCACUGCUUGAAGAAGCACCGCCGAGGGAAAACGACGCCGCUUCGACGAUCUCCUUCAAUCUCAGUUCGGCUUCCUCUUUCGUCUCUGAGGUUUUGAUUAGGACCUUCCUCGCCUCGUCUCUCCUUCCUCGCAUUACCAGCCACCGAGGCGAUUCUGGCAUCGCCAAAACCCCGAUCGCGACCACCACCGCUGGAACCGCCGCAAGUCCUAGCAUGAGUCGCCAAUUUAAAGUUUCUGGUAGGCCCGACAGAGCGUAAUUGGAGAUGUAGCCGAGUAAAAUUCCGAUAUUGAUGAAGACCUCAGGGAGGGAGGUGAGGAAUCCGCGGGUCAGAGUUGGGGAAAGCUCAGCGACGUAGACCGGGGCAAUCAUUAGGGAGUAGCCGACGCCUAUUCCGGCGAUUAAUCUUCCGACGAGGAGAAUUGAAUAUGAUGGGGCGAGACCCAUUAGGAUGGCGCCGAUUAGGAAUGUGGCGGCGGCGAGGAUUAUGGUGUAACGCCUCCCUAUCCAAUCUGAGGUCUUGCCUGAAGCUAGGGAGCCGAUUAAGGAACAUACAUUUAGAGAACCAACCAAAAUUUCAACUUGAGUCGAUGUGAUUUUCAUGUCUUCUUUGAUGAAAAGCACAGCUCCACUCAUUACCCCAAUAUCUGUAAUUAUAUACAAAAGCAAGAUCAAAAAUUGACAUUCUGGGAUGAAAUUCUAUAAAUUUCUGUUUUUUAAUCUAGAAAACUGACCAUAGCCUAGUAGAACAGAGUUGGUGGAAGCCAAAAUGGCACCAGCAAGAGCGUAUCUAUUGAUUGGUGCAAUUUUCCUGUGAGAAAAUGAAGAAGAAGACCCUUCAUCUUCAAUGUCUUCCAGGCUUGUUGUUUUGCUUAUUCCUUUUUCUCUAGUACCAUCUUUUUGGUGAAGGACUUUUGCAGAUGAUGGUGAUAAAAGAGAUUCUGAUUCAGGAGGAAAAGGAUGAUAAGGAUUGUCUUCCUUGUUAGGAUCCAGAGAAUAGGGGAAUGACAUAAUCGGUUUCGGCUGUAGGCAAAGGAAAAGUGGCAAAAGCUUUUAUUGACGUGUGUCAAGAACAAUCUGACCUCACAGGGAAAGAGGUAAGCUUGCAGUGUACCAAUGACAAAAGAGCAGGUGAAAUAAUGGGACAAAGUAUUCUACAUUUCUCCAGAAGAGAAGUAGAGAAUGCCAUUGGGUGUUUAUUUUUUUCCUUUUUUUAUUAACUCUUUUACAAUGGCACUUUUCUCCAAAGGUGGUGGAAUGAGCACGCUUCCACCACACGCUCCUAAAUGUAAGUCUCUUCAUGGUGGUAUGCAGGUGGCACUUGUUAAAAGGUUAUAUGGACACUAUCAUAAGUGGACCACUUACAUGCAGUUGUAGCUGAUAUUAAAACUAGUAAUCAAAAACAGGUACGACAUGUGCAACAUAAACAAAUUAUGAUGAUUGCUUGUCGAUCCAAUUUUUAUUCACAAGAACCUGCAUCGUAUUUAGGUAGUUUAUGUAACCAAAAGUGCCAAAUCAUUAAUGUCAAUGAGAUCCGGUAAUCCCUUUCCUAAA